GUUUAAAUUACAUUAAAUAAAAAGAUUAAUACAUGCGUGUUAAAAGUAUCCAAUUCCGCGCAUGCGUCGAACGCAUUUGAUUAAUCAACGUCAUCGCGCAUCAGGCUGCAGUCGUCACUUGCCGCCUUCCUAACGGUUGUUUCUGCCUUCACAGUGGAAUACUCCUGACUCUGAGAUACCUUGGCCAGAGCAUAACCGAUUAUCUUCACCCAAGAGACCUACUGUUGGUCAAUCGUUUUGGUUUUAAAGAAGUUGCAUUGAUUCCAGAAAACCAGGAAAAUGUUGAGCCAUCUGUAGACUUCAGAGUUGAACCAGGUUUCUCCCCAGUAAUCCAGACUCCACUUCAGAGCCAAGAGUUUGAGUACAAGGCACUUGACUUUCUGGAUAAAAGGUGUGGAGUUCGUCAAGUACUAAACUUUACACCCCCAGCAGAAAAUGUACCCUGGCAGCAAAUGGAUGAAAAGGCUGGAGGAGAAAGUCAUCGCUCCGUUAUUGGCCCUUGGACUCCCCUGGCAUCGCGUUUUCAGCAAUGAAGGUAUAUUCUAGGCCUAUGUCCUAAUGUCCAGUUUUUUAACAGUUUUGAAAAUAGUGCCUUUAGUUUUCCAGAACGAGAACCAAGCCCUGAGGGAGGAGAACCAAGCCCUGAGGGAGGAGAACCAAGCCCUGAGGGAGGAGAACCAAGCCCUGAGGGAGGAGAACCAAGCCCUGAGGGAGGAGAACCAAGCCCUGAGGGAGGAGAACCAAGCCCUGAGGGAGGAGAACCAAGCCCUGAGGGAGGAGAACCAAGCCCUGAGGGAGGGGAGCCAUGCCCUGAGGGAGGGGAGCCAUGCACGAGCAGGUGAGAACAUGCCCUGAGGGAGGGGAGCCAUGCACGAGCAGCUUCGGGUGACAGCGGCUCGCUUCAAGAGCAGGUGAAGCUAUUUGGGACAAUGCUGAAGAUGUUUGCUCGCACUGGGCAAUCAGGUGCAGAUCAGACCCUAGUGCUGCGACGUCUUUGAGAGUUUGGCGAUGUUGUGCGUAGCAUGGAAAACAAAAUGGACACUAUGCUGCAACAUUUCAGUGCCAAUGUGUCUGUUGGAGAGCUAUCCCUGCCAGGGGAUGUUACUCCCCCUAGACACCCAGGAAGAUUUGGUGUUUCUUGACAGCAUUUUGAGGGAGGAUAAAGAGCUCCAGGAACGAUUUGGGCCCUCCGGAAGAACCCGGCAACCCAGGAUGCCACUGAUGAGGCGGUCCAGGUUAACGUUACACGUUACCUGAAAGGAGCAUCAGACUGUGAAGGAGGAAAAAGCCGCCCAGCUGAGAAGGACCCACAGCCAACCCCUUAAACCUAGGCUGACUACUGACACCCCAGCAUCCCUGAACUGGAACACUUUCUUUAUCCUGCAGUCAGUAACAUCAAGAAGCCAGAAGUGCCAGACUACACUCACCAAACCCACCCUGUUUUUUUUUGUAUUAACUUUAGUAUUGGCUUAUUUCAUUCCAUCUUAACGAUUCUAUUAUAGUUUGUAAAUCCUAUUUCAUACCUGAUGUUGCACAUUAACUAGUACCAAAAUUCUACUUUCAUUUCAUCAGUGUGCUUAAAUGUUAUUCUAUUAAUAAUAGCUUGGAAAUACUAUUUCAUACCUCUGAUACUUGAUAUUGCACAUUACCUGGUACCAAAUAUUCUACUUUGUUUUAACAUCAGCAUUUUUCAUUCCAUCGCAGUGCUUAACUGUUAUUCUAUUGUUAAAUAUAGCUUGUAAAUCCUUGUGCCAUAGGUCAGCAUUGCAGUUAUAAUGGUCUGUUUUUACCUCUGUAUUUUUAUAUAAAUAUGUAUGUCAAGUUUUGUUUAUCACAGAUACAAGAGACACAGAUCUUAUUGCAGCACGGUGUAAAUCUUGUGCUCCAGGUCAGCAAUGCCAUUAUAAUUCGCCUUAUUCACCUACGGCACUUCCUUUAAACCAAAACGAGGCUGUGGGGUACGGAAGUAACGUUGGCCCGCCCAUCUGUAGACUUCUGUCAUAACGUUACCUACAAUGCCGCCGCAUUGUUGUUCCCAAACGUACGUCUUCAAAGAGAAAGAAAUCCUAUACAGGUCAAACCUUCCAUCGUUUCCCCAAAGAUCCUGUACUUGGCCGUAAAUGGAUUCAUAAAAUAAGAAGAGAUCCCGGUCGCCAUUUCAAGGUAAGAUGUUAACAUUAGUUUACGAUGCUAACGUUAGCCAUAUUUACGUUAACUGUCAUAGUGAUAGCUAGCUAAACCUUCUGGCUAAAUAGACAUGACUUGAUUAGCCACAAACCGGUCCUUUUUAAGUUAUAAAAGCGAAGGGCUGAUUCGGGGGUAACGUUAAGCAAGUUGUUGCUCUUUUUACUAGCCUGGUCAUCUAACGUCCUGCCGUGGAUAGCCGUGUCUUACAGCAAAAUAUAAACAAGACGUGAUCUGUGCCUGUUUAUGAUAACCAUUGCUAAUCUAGACCUUGUUAAGCACACAACUACGUAUAAACAGUAACAUCCAUUUUACUGGGUUUGUGCAUCUCAGUAGACGACAUUACUGAUUCGUUUUUAGCAUCUGUGUUACCUGUGAGACCUGAAUAGUACCUUCGCUAUGUCAAAUGAGCAACCCAUGCCUGUAAACAAAUUAACUUAUACUUAAUAUUUAUUCAUUUUAAUAACCAACAGUAGCGCCCUGCCUUGCUUUGUAGUGACACAUUGGAAACAAGCUAUUUUGACUGAUGGUUCCAAUACACUUUUAGCUAAAGAUCACAUCAACUGCACAUAACAUGUUAUUUUUAGUCUAGCAGGAAAAGAUGAACUGUUGAUAUGAACGAUCAAGAUGAACUGUUGAACGUUUAGCUAGCGUAUUUGUUCUAGCAGUGCCACCACUCUGCAAACUGAGCAGUUUAUCCACAGUCAUGAUACCUGAAUGUUGUAAGGUGCAUUGCGCGAAAAGACUUAGCUCUCACACUGACUGUCUCGCUCCUCUUGACUGUCUGUAAAAUUAUUUAUUGUUAACACUCAAAAUAAGUCAGUCUGGUGUGGUUAAUAUAUCUUAACAAUGCUUAGCAUCAGCUUGUAAUGUUGUCACGUCCUGUUUUAUCUAGCUAACAAGCUAACUUUAAAAGUAACGUUAACUAAUGUUGAUUUCAGAAAAAAAGCUGUGAUCGUCUGUGCAUUACCUUCCACGUUGUGCACAUAUCCCUCGAUCCAGUUGCUGUAUCCUUUCAGCAAAACAGCCUGGGGAAUCAUGCAGUCCUUAUUGGCCCAUUUUUCAACAUUGUCCACUGUUAUUUUGGGAAGACAUGAAAGAUUUGAUGUCCACACAGGUAUCGCCAUGAUGACAGAUGCCCGCUGCUGCGCUCUGUCAAUGCACUUCCGGUUUAGAGUGUACCCCCUAGCCUCGUUUUGGAUUUCAAGAUGGAGGCGCGGUGAAUGUCAGUGGUCUAUUCUACUCUAGAGCUUUACUCUAAAUUAUUCCCACUUUUCCUAUUGUUAGAAAUGGCUUGAAAAUGUGAUUUUAUACCUUGAUUUAUUUGGUAUCCUGCACAUUCUUUGGUACCAAAUAUCCUCAUUACUUGUUAUGUUUACUGGUAAUUAUUUUCAUCCCAGAGCUGACCUCUUUAUAUUAGUAACAAUUAUUGUGUUUGUGUUAUAAUUUGCUUGUAUGGCUGUUUUUUUUUCUUCCAAAUUUUAUUGGAAACCUGCAUGUUCUGUAGUGUGUAUUUAUGUAUAUUUUUUUCUGCAUGUUAUUUAUUUCAGUGAUCUGACACAUCUUGUUUGAAUGACAGUUACUGUACUUUGAAAUGUGGAAUCAAAACACCAAAUGAAAAUUUGUCAUUAUUCUCGAUAAACUGCAUGCUAUAAAUAUUAAAUUUAUAUAUAUAUAUAUAUAUAUUUAUUAUGUAUAUAUAUUUAUUAGAUAUAUAGAUAUAUAAAUAAGCGGCAGAUCUCUCGAAAAUAGCGUUUACCGCGGAAGGUAUAACGGCGGUUGGCCUACGGGCCGGCCACAGAACACAGGCGGUAGGAAGGCAUGCGUGAUUGCGAUUAAGACAUUCUGACGCUUCUAAUGUCUCUGGAGGACCGUCUCCGGUCCGCCGACUCAUUGCUAUCUGGGGAGAUAGGGAACGACUAUUGCUUAGCUCCUUUUCUCGAUUUACUGAAGCCUAUUAUAAUGUAAAACGCAUUUUUGCAGCUGCACAGCGCACAGUGAGCGUCUAGCUCACUCAUUGGCGCACACUUGCAGUUGCCGCAGCACAGCCAAUGAGUGAGCCAGACGCUCACUGUGCGCUGUGCAGCUGCAAAAAUGCGUUUUACAGACAGACAGCAAGACACCUUUGCUGAAAAUGAAACACUCAUGUGGUCCAUCAAUACCUAACCUGCCUCACUGCACCCAGUAUAAUAAGGCAAUCUUUCAACAGUUCUGCGUUGCCACAACUACUGGGGACAACUGCGUGAUGGUUCAAGGGAAUUUGGGACUGGUACAGAACAUACUAUGUGAUGAAAAGACCAACACAAAGUACAUGGUUUUCAAAGCUAGAUUCCCUUUACUCCAGUCCUCUAGAUUCAAAAGACAUCAGUGUUUAUAAAGCAAAUCAUCUAGAAAGUACAGACCAAAUAAACUACCUGUCAGAUAUAACAAGAAAAUAUGUUUUGAUCCACCAGCGAGCAACCUUGCACAAGCGAGUCGCCUUCCACCAGCAAGCCACCUUUCACCAGCAAACCACCCUCCACCAGCAAGCCACGUAUUACGUCAUCAAGUUGGAAAGGUCACGAAAAAAAAGGAAGAAAAUAAUAAUAAAUUAAAACAAAGAUAUCGGACAAUUAUGAAGUUGAAAGAGAAAAUGAGAUGUAUUUUUUCGCCCUUUUUGAACCGGAGUACACAGACAAAUAACUUAGAUGACGUGACGCGUGACCUUUCCAACUUGAUGACCCACUACGUGGCGCAUCGCAGACCAGCACAAAAUGAACAAUUGUGGUUAAAGUAUAUAAUUUUUUUAGAAAAUGGCAGAUCGUUUCGCCAGAUAAGACCCCAUUCCUCAGGUGGGAUCGUACAGAGCCCUUUGAAACACUUGAGAGCCCUUUGAAACGGCAUUGAUUUGAACUUCAACAUUUUGGUUGUCUUUGAAGCCAAUUGUGUGGAGAAAAAUCCUGAAAUGUUUUGCUCAAAAAACUGAAGAAAGAAAGACAUGAACAUCUUGGAUGGUAUUGGGGUGAGUGAAUUAUCAGGAAAUGUUCAUUUUGAUGUGAACUAAUCCUUUAACCUGUAUUAACCUGAAUUG
Esox lucius (northern pike) is the source of this 5254-nucleotide long non-coding RNA. Lineage: Eukaryota; Metazoa; Chordata; Actinopteri; Esociformes; Esocidae. The record is from Ensembl.